RNAcentral lists this ribosomal RNA (377 nucleotides) under uncultured Bacteroidota bacterium. RNAcentral's name for it is "bacterial SSU rRNA". It matches the Rfam family "Bacterial small subunit ribosomal RNA", at positions 521 to 896 of the family's 1533-position model. The record is from RNAcentral. Lineage: Bacteria; Pseudomonadati; Bacteroidota.
UAAUACGGAGGGUGCAAGCGUUGUUCGAAUUUACUGGGUAUAAAGGGAGCGCAGGCGGCCUGAUAAGUCAGGGGUGAAAUAUGACGGCUCAACCGUCAAACUGCCCCUGAAACUGCCAGGCUUGAGUCCGAGAGAGGUAGGUGGAAUUCCAGGUGUAGCGGUGAAAUGCGUAAAUAUCUGGAGGAACACCGGUGGCGAAGGCGGCCUACUGGCUCGGAACUGACGCUCAGGCACGAAAGCUAGGGGAGCGAACGGGAUUAGAUACCCCGGUAGUCCUAGCCGUAAACGAUGGACACUAGGUGUUGGAGGAGUCUACCCCUUCAGUGCCGCAGCUAAUGCAUUAAGUGUCCCACCUGGGGAGUACGAUCGCAAGGUUG